UACAGAGGUCUCAAGCGUUGUUCGGAUUCAUUGGGCAUAAAGGGUGCGUAGGCGGCGCGGUAAGUCGGGUGUGAAAUCUUGGAGCUUAACUCCGAAACUGCAUUCGAUACUGCCGUGCUUGAGGACUGGAGAGGAGACUGGAAUUUACGGUGUAGCGGUGAAAUGCGUAGAUAUCGUAAGGAAGACCAGUGGCGAAGGCGGGUCUCUGGACAGUUCCUGACGCUGAGGCACGAAGGCCAGGGGAGCAAACGGG
This 253-nucleotide ribosomal RNA is filed under the name uncultured bacterium. RNAcentral's name for it is "partial 16S ribosomal RNA". It matches the Rfam family "Bacterial small subunit ribosomal RNA", at positions 524 to 776 of the family's 1533-position model. The record is from RNAcentral.